CAGCCGCCACGGUAAUACGUAGGGGGCAAGCGUUGUCCGGAAUCAUUGGGCGUAAAGCGCGUGUAGGCGGCUCGAUAAGUCUGCUGUGAAAGUCCAGGGCUCAACCCUGGGAUGCCGGUGGAUACUGUCGAGCUCGAGUCCGGAAGAGGCGAGUGGAAUUCCUGGUGUAGCGGUGAAAUGCGCAGAUAUCAGGAGGAACACCAAUGGCGAAGGCAGCUCGCUGGGACGUGACUGACGCUGAGACGCGAAAGCGUGGGGAGCAAACAGGAUUAGAUACCCCGGUAGUCCCUGUCUCUUAUAA
Molecule: ribosomal RNA, 301 nt
Filed under: uncultured bacterium
Lineage: Bacteria
Description: partial 16S ribosomal RNA
Rfam family: Bacterial small subunit ribosomal RNA
Source: RNAcentral